Non-coding RNA from Punica granatum (pomegranate), 1796 nucleotides. The record is from RefSeq and is a predicted model, not a curated record. NCBI's taxonomy places the organism in Eukaryota, Viridiplantae, Streptophyta, Magnoliopsida, Myrtales, Lythraceae.
UAUUGAUUUUUGGGGACUUUGGGAGUUCGACCUGGAAAGAGAGAGAGAGAGGAGCAUGACACAGAGCUUUAGAGAGGAGGAAGAGAGGGACAGAGACCUUGAGAUGGAGCUAAGGGAAGAGGGACAUGGAGAGGGGCAGAUCGGAGGUGAAAGGGCCGAACAGAGAGGGAGAGCUCCACCCGAGAGGAAACAGAGUAGGGAGGAAGAACGUGGGCUCGAUUGAGAGCUCGGGCUGGGGUUUAUGGAAGAUGAAGAAGAAAGGAAGAACAGAGAGAGGAAGAGUGAGAAAGAGACAGAGGAUGUGACGACAAGCUCGGAAGGGCAAUGACUAAUUAAAGGAGAAUCGAGAGUGACGAAUGGGACAGAGCAAGCGAAGGUACGACGGAUGGAAGGGGGAGAGCAUCGAAUAGGGAAAAGCUUAGCAUCUAACUAGGUCAUGGGCUAUGUUAGGAGCUAAGGAGACCGAGGCUAUACGACCGAGGCUCUUCUUGUUGAUUAAAUUUUUGAGAGCACAUCAUGGGACGAUCAGGCUGCUGAUCUGACGGAAUAUAAAAUAGACGAUUAGGCCAUUGAACCGGCGGAAUAUAAAACGGACGUUAGACUCCUACUGCGGGAGAAUAAUAGGCGGUCCCUACUUAUGAGAUUUGAUAUCAUGAGAUUGUGGAUGAUACAUGCGGGGUCAUGGUACCGUCGAAAUUCUGUCGCGAGGGAAUGCGACCAUAUGCCUAGUAUUUGUUGUAUUGAUAUUGUUGUUGAGUUUAGAUUAUAUUGAAUUGAUGAAGGAUAUCGACUUUCGAGGUUGGUGAGUAAAUAUAUAAUAAAAAAUUUGUUUUAUAACGAAUAUUGUAAGGCAAGUGAUAGGUGAUUGUUUGUGAAUAUUAAUUGGAUAAGUAAAUAAUUUUAGUAUUUCAUUUUAUUGCGGAAUUAGUACUCAUUGAAAUACAGCUCGCUCCCUGCAUAUUUCCUUUUUGCAGAUGAGUUAGAGGCGCUAGUAGCGCAGGAGAGACAUUUGACGUUAGGAUUCUAUGUAUAAUUGUUUAUACUGACGUGAUUAACAAAGAAUGAAACUCUACCCUUCUAUUUGUAUUAUCGGGUAUAAAGCUGUUCUACGUGUGAGCCCCGGUUCAUGUAUGAGCAGGGUUCAUGUGAAUGGACUUAUUGAGCUAAUUGGUGAUGAUGAAUAGCGCUCAUUAUGGACCCUUUAUGUAUGUAAAUUAUAAAUAUAUAACCUUUGAAUUUGGUGAGAGAGAUUCCCAACGCUUUGAAUAGUACAAGAUGCCAACUUAGAAUCAAGAGGAUCUAGUGGUUUGAUCGUCGUGGGACUUUGAAGCAAUGAUUCUACCAUUCAAACGAACAGAUGAACAAGCCUGCUGCUCAAGUUGCAUUAUUAAAAAACUAGUAUGACAACUAAUUAGAAAUUGUUUAUUAAUUCCGAUAGAGAUUCCUAGGACAGUAGUCACGAUCCUCUCAGACGAUAAGCCUCACCUUAAUCAUGGGGAGCAGGCGUGCUCAAGUGACAUUUGAUGCUAUUAAUGUAACGAUUAAUUACUAAUUGCUUAUUCACACAGGGAUUUCGCAGAAGCUGCUGGACGUUGAGAUCGAUGACUUUUAGACAAUCAAAUUGAUAAUACAAAAUUACUUUUAGCAAUCAAACUAGAUGAUGACUCACGCGAUGUGCGGAAUUGGAAAGAAAAACUAAAUAUUUUAUUAAUGUUUUAGUAUAUAUUUUAAAAAGAUUCCCUGCUUGAGGACAGCUACAGAGUAACUUAGCUAUAACUGAAAUAACGGUUUGUUCG